Molecule: ribosomal RNA, 497 nt
Filed under: uncultured bacterium
Lineage: Bacteria
Description: partial 16S ribosomal RNA
Rfam family: Bacterial small subunit ribosomal RNA
Source: RNAcentral
GAUGAACGCUGGCGGCGUGCCUAAUACAUGCAAGUCGAGCGAACGGACGAGAAGCUUGCUUCUCUGAUGCUAGCGGCGGACGGGUGAGUAACACGUGGAUAACCUACCUAUAAGACUGGGAUAACUUCGGGAAACCGGAGCUAAUACCGGAUGAUAUUUUGAACCGCAUGGUUCAAAAGUGAAAGACGGUCUUGCUGUCACUUAUAGAUGGAUCCGCGCUGCAUUAGCUAGUUGGUAAGGUAACGGCUUACCAAGGCAACGAUGCAUAGCCGACCUGAGAGGGUGAUCGGCCACACUGGAACUGAGACACGGUCCAGACUCCUACGGGAGGCAGCAGUAGGGAAUCUUCCGCAAAGGGCGAAAGCCUGACGGAGCAACGCCGCGUGAGUGAUGAAGGUCUUCGGAUCGUAAAACUCUGUUAUUAGGGAAGAACAUAUGUGUAAGUAACUGUGCACAUCUUGACGGUACCUAAUCAGAAAGCCACGGCUAACUACGUG